GAAGAAGAAACUAUUCUGCAUUUGUGUGUUAGGUAUAAUCAUUUGGAUGCUCUUAAAUUGUUGGUGACUUCCUUGCAUGGUGAUGAGGAGCUCCAGCUCCUUAAUUCUGCAGACCAGGAAGGCAACACUAUCUUGCAUUUGGCUGCAUCAAUGAAGCAAGUUGAGGUAUGUUCACCUUGUAGAUAACUUGAGAAGGAAAAUGAAUAGAAGAAAACCCAAA
This 220-nucleotide unclassified non-coding RNA is filed under the name Hevea brasiliensis (rubber tree). The record is from RNAcentral. Lineage: Eukaryota; Viridiplantae; Streptophyta; Magnoliopsida; Malpighiales; Euphorbiaceae.